Molecule: long non-coding RNA, 1256 nt
Filed under: Homo sapiens (human)
Lineage: Eukaryota; Metazoa; Chordata; Mammalia; Primates; Hominidae
Description: HSALNT0226796
Source: RNAcentral
CAGCUCUGGCUUGGAGCUAGGCACCUGCUAGGCCUCUGUGAUGGUUCAUUGUGUGUGUCAGUUUGGCCCGGCUGUCGUGCCCAGCUGGUUGGUGAAACACCAGUCUAGAUGCCAUGGUGAAGGUCUUUGUAGAUGCAAUUAACAUCUACAAUCAGUUGACCUUAAGUCAAGUAGAUCAUGCUCCAUAGUGUGGCUGGGGGUGGGGUGGGGGCAGAGCCAAUCAGUUCAAGGCCUUGAGAGCUAAAGCUAAGGUUUCCUGGAGAGGAAGGAAUUCUGCCUCCAGACUGUCACUGAAAUCCUGAGUUGCCAGCCUGCCGUACAAAUUUUGGACUUGCUAUCCCCUACAAUCCCGUGAGCCAAUUCCUUAAAAUAAAUCUCUUUACACACACGCACACACACACCCCCCCCACACACAUACACACACACACACAUCCCACACACACGUGCACACACACACACAUCCUGUUGGUUUUGUUUCUCUGGAGACCUCCCAGCUGAUAAAGCCUCCAUCAGUAAAUAUAAUUUAAACCUAAUUAUUGGCCAGGAGUGGUGGCUCAUGCUUAUAAUCCCAAUGCUUUGAGAGACCAAGAUGGGAGGAUCACUUGAGCCCAGGAGUUCAAGACCAGCCCUGGUGACAUAGUGAAGCCCCAUCUCUACAAAAAGUUUUAAAACUAGCCAGGUGUGGUGGUGCACAUCUGUGGUCCUGGCUACGUGGUGGCUGAGGAGGGAGGAUCACUUGAGCCCAGGAGGUGAAGGCUGCAGUGAGCCGUGAUCGUGCAACUGCACUCCAGCCUGAGCAAGAUAAUGAGACCCUGUUUCUACAAAAAGUAAAAAAAACAAACAAAAAAAAUAGCCAGGUAUGGUGGUGUGCACCAGUGAUCCCAGCUACUCUGGAGUCUGAGGUGGGAGGAUUGCUUGAGCCAGAAGUUCGUGGUUGCAGUUAGCUAUGAUUGCACCACUGCACUCUAGCCUGAGCAACAGAGCAAGACCUUGUUUCUUAAACAAAACAAAACACACAACAGAAAACUUAUUCUUAAGACCAGACCUGGCAAGAGGAUCUCUCAUAAGAGAGGAGAUUUUACCUUUUGACCCAAAAGUCCAGGUCUCCUCAUCGUCAAAGUGAGUGUCCCCGGAGAUGGGGUGCUCCCCAGGGAAGAAGGCAUGGGCUAGGGUGCCCCCCAACCCGUCGAAGGGGUAGCUGUCCUGGUGGAAGGCGCGGGCAAAGUCGAUGAGGAUGUCGGGCUCCUGGCCCUGGG